AUAACAUGUCUGUGAUGCCCUUAGAUGUCCGGGGCUGCACGCGCGCUACACUGACUGGCUCAGCGUGUGCCUACCCUACGCCGGCAGGCGCGGGUAACCCGUUGAACCCCAUUCGUGAUGGGGAUCGGGGAUUGCAAUUAUUCCCCAUGAACGAGGAAUUCCCAGUAAGUGCGGGUCAUAAGCUUGCGUUGAUUAAGUCCCUGCCCUUUGUACACACCGCCCGUCG
RNAcentral lists this ribosomal RNA (226 nucleotides) under uncultured eukaryote. RNAcentral describes it as "partial small subunit ribosomal RNA". It matches the Rfam family "Eukaryotic small subunit ribosomal RNA", at positions 1453 to 1678 of the family's 1831-position model. The record is from RNAcentral.